AAAAUAUAGUUAAAUUAGUAUAACGUUUCGUUUACAUUGAAAAAGCUUAUCGUGCAAAUCGAUUAAUUUUGA
RNAcentral lists this transfer RNA (72 nucleotides) under Troglocarcinus corallicola. RNAcentral's name for it is "tRNA-Val". It matches the Rfam family "tRNA". From Rfam's summary of the family: Transfer RNA (tRNA) molecules are approximately 80 nucleotides in length. Their secondary structure includes four short double-helical elements and three loops (D, anti-codon, and T loops). The record is from RNAcentral. Lineage: Eukaryota; Metazoa; Arthropoda; Malacostraca; Decapoda; Cryptochiridae.